CGUAUCCUACGGGACGCAGCAGUAGGGAAUUUUCGUCAAUGGGCGCAAGCCUGAACGAGCAAUGCCGCGUGAACGAGGAAGGUCUUCGGAUCGUAAAGUUCUGUUGAAGGGGAAAAGAGCGGAGAGAGGAAAUGAACUCCGAUUGAUAUUACCCUUCGAGGAAGUCACGGCUAACUACGUACCAUCAGCCGCGGUAAUACGUAGGUGGCGAGCGUUAUCCGGAAUGAUUGGGCGUAAAGGGUGCGUAGGCGGCCUGCUAAGUCUGGAGUGAAAGGUACCGGCUCAACCGGUACAGGCUCUGGAAA
RNAcentral lists this ribosomal RNA (305 nucleotides) under uncultured bacterium. RNAcentral's name for it is "bacterial SSU rRNA". It matches the Rfam family "Bacterial small subunit ribosomal RNA", at positions 333 to 632 of the family's 1533-position model. The record is from RNAcentral.